AUACAUGCAAGAACGCCCGACCUUACGGAAGGGUUGUAUUUAUUGGAUACCAAAACCAAACCGUGCCUUCGGGUGCGGUCGCGUUUGUUGAUUCACAAUAACUGAUCGGACCGCUGCUCAGGCAGCGGUAGGUCGUUCGACAUUCUGCCCUAUCAGCUUUCGAUGGUAAUGUAGUGGAUUACCAUGGCUAUAACGGGUAACGGAGAAUCAGGGUUCGAUUCCGGAGAAGGAGCUUGAGAAUUGGCUACUAUAUCUAAGGAAGGCAGCAGGCGCGCAAAUUACCCAAUCCUGACUCAGGGAGGUAGUGACAAACCAUAACAAUACCGGCUCUUUUUGGGGCUGGUAAUUGAAAUGAAAACGAUUUAAUUUUUCUAUCGAGGAUCCAUUGGAGGGCAUGUCCGGCNNNNNNNNNNNNNNNNNNNNNNNNNNNNNNNNNNNNNNNNNNNNNNNNNNNNNNNUAACAGGCUCGUAGUUGACUGUGUACGCCGAUGCGUCGAUCUGCGGCAAAGGUCGUGCGAUCAGCCCGUCGUGGCGUCGUAAAUUAGCAACUGGGUCGCCGCUGGUCAUAAUUGGUCGGUGGCGUCUGCUCGGGUUGCUCGUUUACUGUGAGAAAACUUGGAGUGUUCAAGGGCAGGCGUGGAUUGCAACUGAACAUGUUAGCAUGGAAAUAAUAAGAUAGGGCUCCGGCUCAUAUUUUGUUGGUUUCUAGAGCGUGGGAGUAAUGAUUGAUAGGGACAGUUGGGGGUGCUAGUAUUCAGCGGCCAGAGGUAAAAUUCAUGGAUUCGCUGAAGACUGACUUAUGCGAAAGCAUUCACCAAGGAUGUCCUCUUUAAUCAAGAACGAAAGUUGGGGGAUCGAAGACGAUCAGAUACUGUCGUAGUCUCAACCAUAAACGAUGUCGACUAGGGAUUGGCGGUCGUUUUUCAUAUAAGACUCUGUCAGCACCUUCCGAGAAAUCAAAGUGUUUGGACUCUUGGGGAAGUAUGGUCGCAAGGCUGAAACUUAAAGGAAUUGACGGAAGGGCACCACCAGGAGUGGAGCCUGCGGCUUAAUUUGACUCAACACGGGGAAACUUACCAGGUCCAGAGAUGUAGAGGAUUGACAGAUUGAAGCUCUUUCUUGAUCACUUCGGUGGUGGUGCAUGGCCGUUCUUAGUUGGUGGAGUGAUUUGUCUGGUUAAUUCCGUUAACGAACGAGACCUCAGCCUGCUUUUGUAGUCGGCUGUAUACCUUCGUGGUGUACGAGUUCCAACUUCUUAGAGGGACUAUCGAUGUGCAGUCGAUGGAAGUUUGAGGCAAUAACAGGUCUGUGAUGCCCUUAGAUGUUCUGGGCCGCACGCGCGCUACAAUGCUAGGUUCAACGAA
This 1364-nucleotide ribosomal RNA is filed under the name uncultured Plasmodiophoridae. Its description in RNAcentral is "partial 18S ribosomal RNA". It matches the Rfam family "Eukaryotic small subunit ribosomal RNA", at positions 167 to 1519 of the family's 1831-position model. Lineage: Eukaryota; Endomyxa; Phytomyxea; Plasmodiophorida. The record is from RNAcentral.